CAAGGGCGGAAUCAGCAUAAGCCACCAGCGGCGCAGGGGAGGAGGCGCCGCGCGUGGAAGGAACGCCAGUCACUCCUUCCACAUGUCGUGGUGGAAAUCCGCCGAACCCAAUGCCUUGGUUCGCGCAGUCAAUCCAUGAUCCUCCUCCCUCCAGCUCCACAGAACUCCCCCUCCUCCGCCUAUAGGGUUUCGGCAUCGCCGGCUCUCCAUGUUCGCCUGGAGUCCCGGCGAUCACAUUGUUGCCCUCCUCCGAGAUGCGGAAGAAUUCGUUCGAUGGCGGCGACUAGAAGAUCACAGCUAUUAUGGAGCUGAUGUUGGUGGUGAUGCUUACAUUAUCUCCGAUGCCCACCGAGUCAUGUUCGUGUUCCUCUUCAAGCAAAGUCAUGACAUGUAGCAGAUCAGUAACAUCACUACACAAAGAUUCAAAGAUGUAAGAUGCAGAAGACCAGUCAUACCGGUUUGGGAACCUCCGAGUGGCACAAAAGGGAAGGGCUGGCCCAGGUUAUCACCAUGAUUGGAUCAUCGCCUGUGUAGUAGCAGCUUGUUGCAUGGGUACAAAAUUACAGGAGUUUGAGUGCGGCGGACUGAUCUCGGACCCCUUUUUGUUGCAUGACCAUUCUAAACUUACAAAGUGGCGAAGUCACUGAUAAAAGCUCGUGUGAUCCUGAGCUUUUGUGCUCAUCUACUUUUCUUUUUCUUGCAACCGCUCAGGCACUAGAUGAGGUUAAAAUUGGGUUGAUUCUGUGGGUUACAAUAUCGCACAUCUUAGGCAAAUCAGCUCUGUUUGUGACGAAAUGAUGCAAUUGUAUGAAUUGGUGUGUAUUAUUCUAUAUCAAUGUCACUUCAUUCA
Musa acuminata AAA Group (dessert banana) is the source of this 850-nucleotide long non-coding RNA. RefSeq lists it as uncharacterized. NCBI's taxonomy places the organism in Eukaryota, Viridiplantae, Streptophyta, Magnoliopsida, Zingiberales, Musaceae. The transcript has 2 exons. The record is from RefSeq and is a predicted model, not a curated record.